RNAcentral lists this ribosomal RNA (133 nucleotides) under uncultured bacterium. Its description in RNAcentral is "partial 16S ribosomal RNA". The record is from RNAcentral.
UCGUUAACAUCAAGACUCAUGGUUAUUAGCCAUGAGCUUUUUUUCACGAUUGAAAGUGCUUUACAACCCGCAGGCCUUCUUCACACACGCGGCAUUGCUGGAUCAGGCUUGCGCCCAUUGUCCAAUAUUCCCC